AUGUUGAAUUUAGGAUAUGAGAUUGGUAAGACCAUAAUCCAUGGACCAGUCUUCAAUUGUUAUCCUGUAGUUCAUUUUGGUCUUGAGGGGAUUUGUGUCCAGAAUGGGGGUUUUGAUUGUUGCUGGUUGAAUCUACUGACAACACAAGUUUUGAUUUCUCCUGGUUAUGUAUCUCAUGGUGGUUCACAGGUUUUUUCCCCGUGGAUCCAGCACCUGUUCCUUGUGAUCUGUAGCAUCAGGAGACACGAGGUCACCUCCGGUGCCGCUGGUCACGUCAACGCCGUUAAAAAAUGGUGGUCAGUCCAGCUCCUGCAACCAAUACAGGUCGUUGCCCCUUUUGCCACAACGACAGCAGCACAAACACGAAUGUGGUCGUCCUCAACCAGUUCCUCACGCGGCCUCCGCGCAAGCCCUCUCAUGUAUGCUUACACCAAAAGUGCUUACUUGAAGGGGUAG
This 456-nucleotide ribosomal RNA is filed under the name Triticum aestivum (bread wheat). RNAcentral's name for it is "partial small subunit ribosomal RNA". The record is from RNAcentral. Lineage: Eukaryota; Viridiplantae; Streptophyta; Magnoliopsida; Poales; Poaceae.